Molecule: non-coding RNA, 87 nt
Filed under: Pseudomonas migulae
Lineage: Bacteria; Pseudomonadati; Pseudomonadota; Gammaproteobacteria; Pseudomonadales; Pseudomonadaceae
Also listed under: 2 other names
Source: RNAcentral
UGUUAUGGCGGUUGUGCGCGGGACGCUUUCGAGCGUGCCGGUCUCCGUGACUCCCGGUUUACCAACCUGCGCACAGCUGCCACCCAU